AGAAAUGAAGAGCAAAGACACCCCAUUCCCAGGUUCAGAUAACAGCGGAGGCCUCGGGGCGGAACAUGCAGCUGUUCUGCUGCUCCUGGUGAAAGGCUAGGCUAAUCCCUACACCCAGAGGGCGGCAGAGGUGGAAGGGAGUGGGAUUUGCAGCAGUGAAACAGCGGAGGAGAAUCUCCUGGUUUUCUAGCAGAACACUUAACAUGAGAUCCACCCUCUUAAAAUUGUGUGUAACGUGGUGUACAUUGGUGCAUAAGAUGGGAUGUUAUUUAGCCUUAAAAGAGAACAAAAUCCUGCAAUAUAUGAUGAUGUGGAUGACCUUGAGGCCAUUAUGCUGAAUGAACUAAGCCAGUCGCGGAAGGACAGAGCAGCACAUCAAAGACUACGGGGCUCUGCGAAGUGAUCACAUCACAGAGUAGCUGGUAAUGGGGGGUGACAAAGCCUCAGGGAAAGCCACCCACCUCUCUUCACAUCCUAAUGCUGCCAUGAGCCUGAUAUUCCUCUGCUCCAUGGUCCUUCGUCUCCUGAGUGAAGGCCCCUCCAUGCAGAAGUCACCCAGACUCCAGGACACCUGGUCAAGGGGAAAGGACAGAAAGCAACAAUGUAUUGGGUCCUCAUCAAAGGACACACUUACGUUUUCU
This is a long non-coding RNA of Suricata suricatta (meerkat), 641 nucleotides long. RefSeq lists it as uncharacterized. The transcript has 4 exons. NCBI's taxonomy places the organism in Eukaryota, Metazoa, Chordata, Mammalia, Carnivora, Herpestidae. The record is from RefSeq and is a predicted model, not a curated record.